RNAcentral lists this long non-coding RNA (2946 nucleotides) under Volvox carteri. Its description in RNAcentral is "long non-coding RNA (VCAR_LNC003019)". The record is from RNAcentral. Lineage: Eukaryota; Viridiplantae; Chlorophyta; Chlorophyceae; Chlamydomonadales; Volvocaceae.
CCUCUUGCGGCCGCCUCCUCGGCCGUCAUGUCCAUGAAUAUUACUAGGUCAGCCGCCGGCAGCCCCACCUCCACCGCUCGGCAGUAGUCCAUGGACAGGUGCGGUACGCCCUUGGCUGCGGUGUACGCCACACCGCUGUAGCUGUAACGGUCCACAACCAACGUCGUGUGGCCGGACAGAAGCCGCAGCAUCUCCUUUCUGACAGUAAGCGGAGCGAUUCCCUAAUCAAUAUUCGUGCAAUGUUUAGUUUUGGGUCGUGUCUAUGGCAUUGGUCGAGGUGCUGGUGGCGCUUAAGGUUGAACAAGGUAAGGGAGAUAUCCUGUGAUGUACGUGGUGGCAGCAGAGUGACAGGUUCCAAGGGAAAGAAGGAGCGUUCAGGAAAGACAACCAACUGGUUCCGGAGGGUCCAUGGUGGAACGCUCUCGUGUCACAACGUGGGUGGGAGGAGGGCUGCACUGCGCACAUGUUGCCAGGCCUAUUUGCGUGCUUUAACGAAUGAUAAGGCAAUUGCGCGUGAUACGCCUUCAACCGCCCCCCUUGACAAUCCCCGUGGUGCCGCGGGCUGCUCACCGCUUUUCAAAACGAUUUGCCGUGAAGAGGAGAUGGAUGGCAGUGUCGUCGUGGUCAGCCCCGUUGUGCAGGUAAUCGUUGAUUGUCUGGCCUAUCCUUGUCGAUCUAUCAGGAAAGCACCAGUGCUCCACCUUAACCUGUCCGACAACCGAGGUGAGCGCCGCAGAUGCCACCAGAGUUUGCAGCCACGCGGCAAAAAGUGUCGCCACGGUCCAGGAACAAGUCAGGGUUUUCUAACCACCAAGUAUAGAACUCACUCCGCGUCUCCUGAGGUGAUCCACAAGCAAGUUGCUCUGUGUGCUCUUCCCACAGCGGUCGAUGCCCUCAAAAACAAUGAAAGCUCCGCGGGAGCGGACCUGUGCACUGACGUCAAGAGCUGAGUAGUUACAUUUCAUCAGUCGGGUGCUUUGACAUGCGCUUUCUCUAAAUGGUGCCCGGGAUAACAAUGGCCAAGUUCUUACAGCGCCCAAUGCCGACAUCCUCCUUGUCAAGGCCCGCAACUACAGGGUUACAGUAUAAGGAAAUCAUAAGCUUUGAUUUGCAUUGAAGAUGUUAAUUUCGCACUCGACAUACUUUGCCAUUUGGUUCAACAAUCGUCGCACGUAAGCGUUACUAAGACGCACGUCAGUUGAUUUUCUUUAAAUUUGCACGAUAUGCCGCCGAUGUCACUCACACAAAGAGAAUUCCAACCGUAAUCAAAGAUCGUCGCUACCCCAUGCGCACGUCAUAAACCACACCCGUCUCCUUGCGCCGCCCUUCAGCCACAGUAUCGCCAUCGCCCCUAGCCCUAAGCCGUUACUCGAGCGGCUUCCGGCAGCACAGCUACCUGCUGCAUUUUCUCUGCCUCUCCAAUGAACACGUCGGCGACUGCAUCCGCCUCCCCGGCGGCCGCCGCGGACUUCUCAUCGGGAAAGCUACUCUGUUGACCGCCCGCAGCUGUUACCACCCUGCGCAACGGGCAACCUCAUUAGCAUAGCUACAGGCGAUGUUUGAUCCAACACUCAUCCCAACAUGAAUAGCCGUUACCGUGAUAACCUCACACGGGUAACUCACGUGGGCAAGUCAAUGGGCUUGUAGUCCCACAGCCGCCCCAGCGCACUGCCCGCAAGCGCACGUUGCACCACCGGCUCCGCCACAGCCGCUACCUAAGUUAGAGGAAAGCACUGGAAGCAAAGUUAGUGUGGAUGAGUUGGUGGGGCCUUGUUACUGCGUAUCUGCAUGGCUGUAGCUUGGGAAGUCUGUUUGCCGUAAAACAAACUCGUGCGGGGUUGACCAUUAAACCUGGGAGCUGGCGGACCAGCGACGGACAGACAGAGCAGCUUGAUUAUGAUAAUGUUGCAACGAGGGACUUUGCUGACAGACUGACCGCCCGGCUGACCUUUUGGUGGAUGUCGUCAAUGGUGCCAGAUGCGUCAAUGACAGCCCAUCGCUCAUCCCGCAGCGCCUCGAAGGCCUUCAUUACCUGCAGCAGCAGCAGCAGCGCCGCAGCCACAGCAAUCAUGUGCUACAUGCCACGGCUAAUGAAUGAAAAGCCACGACAUGCACAGCACUUAGUAGCACGUCUCUUAAGACUGGCCAAUAUGGUAGCGGGCGCGCCAAGGCUAUGAGCACUUAAGUGCACACAUCCUAUUGUCCCCCAGUGCGGCCACACCUCCAUGAACUAGCUGACACUCGGGCGCCUUACCUUCUGUUGGAAAUCCACCUUCUCGUACCUCUCUUGACCGUACCCUCCUCGCGCCGCUGUCGCUUCGGCCGUCAUGUCCAUGAAAAUCACCAGAUCAGCCGCCGGCAGGCCCACCUCCACCGCUCGGCAGUAGUCCAUGGACAGGUGCGGUACGCCCUUGGCUGCGGUGUACGCCACACCGCUGUAGCUGUAACGGUCCACAACCAACGUCGUGCGGCCGGACAGAAGCCGCAGCAUCUCUUCCCUUUGGACGGCGGCGUACAGGGAAAGCUUAUUCAAACCAGACCUCUAUGCUGUGUGCGGGCGUUGCGGGGUGUGCCAAGCUCAGAGCACGCCACACAUAUUCUCCGCAUGAAUCCGCAGGGGAGCCCUGCCAAUACAAUACGCCGCUGACACUAGUGUCAAGUCUUGAAGGAUACAAGAAGAGCCGUCCUUGAGCGCGCUUUUCGACGGGCCCGCUUAGCGACAGACCCGCAGUGUAACGCUCUUCCUUAAGUCACUUCUUAGCCAUGCUAUGGGCCUGCCGCCUGCUCCUGCGAUUUUCAGUAACUUACCACAUGGCCCUCGUCGUCAACUCCUUCAAGCUACCCACAACCGGGAUGCGGAACAAGCCCCUCCGUGAUAAGGCCCUUCCCAACACGAUGACUGCCCCAUCGGCAAACGGCAGCUGGUCCCUCAGGAUAGUGGUUUCC